GGGUUGUGAGGUUAAGCGACUAAGCGUACACGGUGGAUGCCCUGGCAGUCAGAGGCGAUGAAGGACGUGCUAAUCUGCGAUAAGCGUCGGUAAGGUGAUAUGAACCGUUAUAACCGGCGAUUUCCGAAUGGGGAAACCCAGUGUGAUUCGUCACACUAUCAUUAACUGAAUCCAUAGGUUAAUGAGGCGAACCGGGGGAACUGAAACAUCUAAGUACCCCGAGGAAAAGAAAUCAACCGAGAUUCCCCCAGUAGCGGCGAGCGAACGGGGAGCAGCCCAGAGCCUGAAUCAGUGUGUGUGUUAGUGGAAGCGUCUGGAAAGGCGCGCGAUACAGGGUGACAGCCCCGUACACAAAAAUGCACAUGCUGUGAGCUCGAUGAGUAGGGCGGGACACGUGGUAUCCUGUCUGAAUAUGGGGGGACCAUCCUCCAAGGCUAAAUACUCCUGACUGACCGAUAGUGAACCAGUACCGUGAGGGAAAGGCGAAAAGAACCCCGGCGAGGGGAGUGAAAAAGAACCUGAAACCGUGUACGUACAAGCAGUGGGAGCCUCUUAUGGGGUGACUGCGUACCUUUUGUAUAAUGGGUCAGCGACUUAUAUUCUGUAGCAAGGUUAACCGAAUAGGGGAGCCGAAGGGAAACCGAGUCUUAACUGGGCGUUAAGUUGCAGGGUAUAGACCCGAAACCCGGUGAUCUAGCCAUGGGCAGGUUGAAGGUUGGGUAACACUAACUGGAGGACCGAACCGACUAAUGUUGAAAAAUUAGCGGAUGACUUGUGGCUGGGGGUGAAAGGCCAAUCAAACCGGGAGAUAGCUGGUUCUCCCCGAAAGCUAUUUAGGUAGCGCCUCGUGAAUUCAUCUCCGGGGGUAGAGCACUGUUUCGGCAAGGGGGUCAUCCCGACUUACCAACCCGAUGCAAACUGCGAAUACCGGAGAAUGUUAUCACGGGAGACACACGGCGGGUGCUAACGUCCGUCGUGAAGAGGGAAACAACCCAGACCGCCAGCUAAGGUCCCAAAGUCAUGGUUAAGUGGGAAACGAUGUGGGAAGGCCCAGACAGCCAGGAUGUUGGCUUAGAAGCAGCCAUCAUUUAAAGAAAGCGUAAUAGCUCACUGGUCGAGUCGGCCUGCGCGGAAGAUGUAACGGGGCUAAACCAUGCACCGAAGCUGCGGCAGCGACACUAUGUGUUGUUGGGUAGGGGAGCGUUCUGUAAGCCUGCGAAGGUGUACUGUGAGGUAUGCUGGAGGUAUCAGAAGUGCGAAUGCUGACAUAAGUAACGAUAAAGCGGGUGAAAAGCCCGCUCGCCGGAAGACCAAGGGUUCCUGUCCAACGUUAAUCGGGGCAGGGUGAGUCGACCCCUAAGGCGAGGCCGAAAGGCGUAGUCGAUGGGAAACAGGUUAAUAUUCCUGUACUUGGUGUUACUGCGAAGGGGGGACGGAGAAGGCUAUGUUGGCCGGGCGACGGUUGUCCCGGUUUAAGCGUGUAGGCUGGUUUUCCAGGCAAAUCCGGAAAAUCAAGGCUGAGGCGUGAUGACGAGGCACUACGGUGCUGAAGCAACAAAUGCCCUGCUUCCAGGAAAAGCCUCUAAGCAUCAGGUAACAUCAAAUCGUACCCCAAACCGACACAGGUGGUCAGGUAGAGAAUACCAAGGCGCUUGAGAGAACUCGGGUGAAGGAACUAGGCAAAAUGGUGCCGUAACUUCGGGAGAAGGCACGCUGAUAUGUAGGUGAAGUCCCUUGCGGAUGGAGCUGAAAUCAGUCGAAGAUACCAGCUGGCUGCAACUGUUUAUUAAAAACACAGCACUGUGCAAACACGAAAGUGGACGUAUACGGUGUGACGCCUGCCCGGUGCCGGAAGGUUAAUUGAUGGGGUUAGCGGUAACGCGAAGCUCUUGAUCGAAGCCCCGGUAAACGGCGGCCGUAACUAUAACGGUCCUAAGGUAGCGAAAUUCCUUGUCGGGUAAGUUCCGACCUGCACGAAUGGCGUAAUGAUGGCCAGGCUGUCUCCACCCGAGACUCAGUGAAAUUGAACUCGCUGUGAAGAUGCAGUGUACCCGCGGCAAGACGGAAAGACCCCGUGAACCUUUACUAUAGCUUGACACUGAACAUUGAGCCUUGAUGUGUAGGAUAGGUGGGAGGCUUUGAAGUGUGGACGCCAGUCUGCAUGGAGCCGACCUUGAAAUACCACCCUUUAAUGUUUGAUGUUCUAACGUUGGCCCCUAAUCGGGUUGCGGACAGUGUCUGGUGGGUAGUUUGACUGGGGCGGUCUCCUCCUAAAGAGUAACGGAGGAGCACGAAGGUUGGCUAAUCCUGGUCGGACAUCAGGAGGUUAGUGCAAUGGCAUAAGCCAGCUUGACUGCGAGCGUGACGGCGCGAGCAGGUGCGGGGUGUGCGGUGGUGAAUGAUCCGGUGGUUCUGAAUGGAAGGGCCAUCGCUCAACGGAUAAAAGGUACUCCGGGGAUAACAGGCUGAUACCGCCCAAGAGUUCAUAUCGACGGCGGUGUUUGGCACCUCGAUGUCGGCUCAUCACAUCCUGGGGCUGAAGUAGGUCCCAAGGGUAUGGCUGUUCGCCAUUUAAAGUGGUACGCGAGCUGGGUUUAGAACGUCGUGAGACAGUUCGGUCCCUAUCUGCCGUGGGCGCUGGAGAACUGAGGGGGGCUGCUCCUAGUACGAGAGGACCGGAGUGGACGCAUCACUGGUGUUCGGGUUGUCAUGCCAAUGGCACUGCCCGGUAGCUAAAUGCGGAAGAGAUAAGUGCUGAAAGCAUCUAAGCACGAAACUUGCCCCGAGAUGAGUUCUCCCUGACUCCCUGAGAGUCCUGAAGGAACGUUGAAGACGACGACGUUGAUAGGCCGGGUGUGUAAGCGCAGCGAUGCGUUGAGCUAACCGGUACUAAUGAACCGUGAGGCUUAACCUUACAACGCCGAAG
Molecule: ribosomal RNA, 2926 nt
Filed under: Escherichia coli
Lineage: Bacteria; Pseudomonadati; Pseudomonadota; Gammaproteobacteria; Enterobacterales; Enterobacteriaceae
Description: 23S ribosomal RNA
Rfam family: Bacterial large subunit ribosomal RNA
Source: RNAcentral